Molecule: ribosomal RNA, 497 nt
Filed under: uncultured bacterium
Lineage: Bacteria
Description: partial 16S ribosomal RNA
Rfam family: Bacterial small subunit ribosomal RNA
Source: RNAcentral
GAUGAACGCUGGCGGCGUGCCUAAUACAUGCAAGUCGAGCGAACGGACGAGAAGCUUGCUUUUCUGAUGUUAGCGGCGGACGGGUGAGUAACACGUGGAUAACCUACCUAUAAGACUGGGAUAACUUCGGGAAACCGGAGCUAAUACCGGAUAAUAUUUUGAACCGCAUGGUUCAAAAGUGAAAGACGGUCUUGCUGUCACUUAUAGAUGGAUCCGCGCUGCAUUAGCUAGUUGGUAAGGUAACGGCUUACCAAGGCAACGAUGCAUAGCCGACCUGAGAGGAUGAUCGGCCACACUGGAACUGAGACACGGUCCAGACUCCUACGGGAGGCAGCAGUAGGGAAUCUUCCGCAAUGGGCGCAAGCCUGACGGAGCAACGCCGCGUGAGUGAUGAAGGUCUUCGGAUCGUAAAACUCUGUUAUUAGGGAAGAAAAUAUGUGUAAGUAACUGUGCACAUCUUGACGGUACCUAAUCAGAAAGCAACGGCUAACUACGUG